Zingiber officinale is the source of this 379-nucleotide long non-coding RNA. RefSeq lists it as uncharacterized. The record is from RefSeq and is a predicted model, not a curated record. The transcript has 4 exons. Lineage: Eukaryota; Viridiplantae; Streptophyta; Magnoliopsida; Zingiberales; Zingiberaceae.
GAGCGUUCCGCGUCUCCCUUCUCGUUGGAUUUGGAUCGAGCGACGCCACCGAGGAGUGAUCUUAGAGGUUUCAACCUUCGACUCCGAUCAAUUGGGGUUGCACGGAGCUGUGUCUGGUGUUGUGCUUUGGUCCAGCGACUCAUCUGGUUGCUAGUGGAAAUGAUCUUGGCAAAGGAUCAACAGAAGGGGGGCUGUGAGGAAGAGGAGGUUGGAUUGAAGGGGGCAGCAUGUUUACUAGGGUUUCGGUCAGGAGUUUCCAGCAGCCUACAAUUCCAGCUCUUCAACUGUGGGUCAACAAAAUUUCAUCCGGUUUUAGGAUUUUGAUUCGAGGCAAGCAUCUCGACGUGGGGGCUAUAUUUGGCACGAUCUAUAUCUAAGG